Molecule: ribosomal RNA, 253 nt
Filed under: uncultured bacterium
Lineage: Bacteria
Description: partial 16S ribosomal RNA
Rfam family: Bacterial small subunit ribosomal RNA
Source: RNAcentral
UACGGAGGGUGCAAGCGUUAUCCGGAUUCACUGGGUUUAAAGGGUGCGUAGGCGUCCUGGAAAGUUACGGUUGAAAUCUCCUUGCUCAACAAGGAAACUGGCCGUAAAACUAUCAGGAUUGAGUACAUUUGAAGCGGGCGGAAUGUGUCAUGUAGCGGUGAAAUGCUUAGAUAUGACACAGAACACCAAUUGCGAAGGCAGCUCGCUAAACUGUAACUGACGCUGAGGCACGAAAGCGUGGGGAUCAAACAGG